CUCCUUUGCUCAUGAGAAGGUUCUCUGCUUCGUGGCGGGAUAUCUUCUCAUCAAACCAGCUGUCAAGUGGGAAAAAUCAUGGAGAUGUGAAUAAGGAUGUGAAUUAAGCUCUUGCACAGAGAAAGCAACAUGGGAAAAAUGUGUGU
This is a non-coding RNA of Taeniopygia guttata (zebra finch), 146 nucleotides long. The record is from RefSeq and is a predicted model, not a curated record. Lineage: Eukaryota; Metazoa; Chordata; Aves; Passeriformes; Estrildidae.